This 447-nucleotide ribosomal RNA is filed under the name uncultured bacterium. RNAcentral describes it as "bacterial SSU rRNA". It matches the Rfam family "Bacterial small subunit ribosomal RNA", at positions 329 to 792 of the family's 1533-position model. The record is from RNAcentral.
GGCCAGACUCCUACGGGAGGCAGCAGUGGGGGAUAUUGCACAAUGGGGGGAACCCUGAUGCAGCGACGCCGCAUGGGUGAAGAAGUAUUUCGGUAUGUAAAGCCCUAUCGGCAGGGAAGAAAUUGGACGGUACCUGACUAAGAAGCCCCGGCUAACUACGUGCCAGCAGCCGCGGUAAUACGUAGGGGGCAAGCGUUAUCCGGAUUCACUGGGUGUAAAGGGAGCGUAGACGGCCAUGCAAGCCUGGAGUGAAAGCCCGGGGCCCAACCCCGGGACUGCUCUGGGAACUGUGCGGCUGGAGUGCGGGAGGGGCAGGCGGAAUUCCUGGUGUAGCGGUGAAAUGCGUAGAUAUCAGGAGGAACACCGGCGGCGAAGGCGGCCUGCUGGACCGCGACUGACGCUGAGGCGCGAAAGCGUGGGGAGCAAACAGGAUUAGAUACCCGAGUA